GUCAUUUUGUGUGAUAAUUUUGCCAACAACAUGUUUUAAAGAAAUACAAUCAAUCUAUACAAAAAGACUAUUCGCUUUUUAAAUUAUGUUCACACUUUUUUCAUAUAUAAAUCUCAUCUAAUGUAUCUAGCUGAUGAUAUGCAAAGGUGCUCACUAAGCUCAUGAGCAGAAUACACUAUUACUACUGGUUAUACUUAAUGCAGGAGGGGUUAGGAAAAAUAUGACAGUAAGAUCUUCUCUGUACAGCUAUUUUUUUAUUCCAUUAAUAUAACCAUAUUAUAUCAAACUUUACAUAUUAGAAAUGAUUCUACAAACACAGUACAAACAUCAUAUAACAGUAACAGUGUCUAGACCAUAAGAAAAACAAAUUUGAAAAAUAAAGAACACAAUUAC
Erpetoichthys calabaricus (reedfish) is the source of this 393-nucleotide long non-coding RNA. RefSeq lists it as uncharacterized. The record is from RefSeq and is a predicted model, not a curated record. NCBI's taxonomy places the organism in Eukaryota, Metazoa, Chordata, Cladistia, Polypteriformes, Polypteridae. The transcript has 2 exons.